RNAcentral lists this long non-coding RNA (9088 nucleotides) under Capsicum annuum. RNAcentral's name for it is "long non-coding RNA (CANN_LNC007281)". The record is from RNAcentral. Lineage: Eukaryota; Viridiplantae; Streptophyta; Magnoliopsida; Solanales; Solanaceae.
CUUAUUCAAAUUUGCACAUCCGCACCCCCAAAGUCCAAAGUUUAUUAGAAAGGGUUUUAAGUGAGCAUUUCAAGAACUAACAAAUGGCGCAAAGCCUUAAGCACAGUAUAGAAUCCCUUGAAACUGAAGAAGAAGAAGAAGAAAAGGUUCGCCUUGUUAUACUAAUGAAUUCUCUUUUACAAACAUUUAUUUUUCUAUAUUUUUUGGUUAUUGCUAACUAUUAAUUUGAUAAAAUUGCAAGUUCUUUUAUGACCUGUAAAUGCGUUUUUUGUGUUGUUUAUGUAGCUUUUGUCUUAAGGUCUGCUUAUAUACUACCCUCCUUAGACAUUAAUUAUGGCAUUAUCUUUGAUAAUAGAGAUAAUUUUACAAUAUUAACCUUUAAAUUUAACACUCAAGGGUGUGGCAUAGUGGUUCAACGAAGUUGGAUUGAGCACCGUGAGGUCUCAGGUUCAAUUUCCAACAGAGACAAACACUAGGUGAUUUCUUUGUGAUCUAGUCUUGGUGGACAGAGUUACCAGGUGCUUGUGGCUGGUGGGAGGUGGCAGAUAUUCUGUGGAAUCAGUCGAGGUGCAUUGGAUAAUGCGUUAUUUAAUGCUAAGUGUAAAGUGAGUAGAAACAGGUAAAUUAUCCAUUGGUUUUAUAAACUAGACAAGUAUGGUUGGACAUCCCAAAAUUGAUAAGUGGAUAAGUAAAAAUGGUAAUUUUACCAUAUUGCCCUUUGGAUAUAAUAAAUUUAGCAUCCAAGGGUGUGACCUAGUGGUUCAAUGAAGUUGGAUUGAGCACCGUGAGGUCUGAGGUUCAAUUCCCAACAGAGACAAAUACUAGGUGAUUUCUUCCUAUUCUAGUGUUGGUGGACAAAGUUACCUGGUACCUGUUGCUGCAGAGAGGUGACAUGCAUUCUGUGGAAUUAGUCGAGGUGCAUUGGAUAAUGAAUCGUUAUUUAAUGCUAAGUGUAAAGUGAGUAGAAAUAGGUAAAUUAUCCAUUGGUUUUAUAAACUAGACAAGUAUUGUUGAACAUCCCAAAAUUGAUAACUAGAUAAGUAUAAAUAGUAAUUUUAUGAUAUUACCCUUUGGAUAUAAUAAAUUUAGCAUCCAAGGGUGUGGUCUAGUGGUUCAAUGAAGUUGGGUUGAGUAUAAUGAGGUAUCAGGUUCAAUUCUCAACAGAGAUAAACACUAGGUGAUUUCUUCUUGUUCUAGUCUUGGUGGACAGAGUUAUCUGAUACCUAUUGCUGGUGGGAGGUGGCAGGUAUCCCGUGGAAUUAGCUUCGAGGUGUGCCCAAGAUGGCCUGAAUACCACGGUUAUAAAAAAAUAUAAUAAAUUUAAAGCUUUGGAAAAUGCAUUGGAUAAUGAAUCGUAUUUAAUGCUAAGUGUAAAAUGGGUAGAAACAGGUAAAUUAUCCAUUGGUUUGUAAACUACAUAAGUAUUGUUAGACAUUUCAAAAAAAAAAAGUGGACAAGUAAAGAUGGACGGAGGGAGUUAUUGAUAAAAUUGCAAGCUGUUUUAUGGCCUGUAAAUGUUUGUGUUGUUUAUGGAACUUUUGUCUUAGGUUUGCGUACGCACUACCCUCCUUAGACACUAUGGCAUUAUAUUUGAUUGAAAUCUACUCCCUCCGUUCAUCUUUACUGGUACAUUUUCCUAUUGGCAUAGGAAUUAAUAAGCAAUAAAUAAUAAAUAAUAAAAGUAAUUUUACUAUAUUACCCUUUGAAUAUUGUAAAUUUUAAUACUUUGGGAAAUGUAUUGGAUAAUGAAAUGUAUUUGAUUGAAAUCUACUCCUUUAAUUUCAAAUUUUGUUAGAUUGAUAAGAUCCUGGUAUUUGACCUAAUAUGUCCUUUAUUAUGCUAAGUUCUUGUUUCUCUUGUGUUCCAUAAUUCCACUUGAGUUUUUCAUGGAUGGAUUGCAGUGGCGUAGCCUGGAUUUUUAUUGAGGGAGUUCAAAGUGCACACACGAACUAGUCGAUGAGGGUUCAACAUCUGCUAUAUAUACAUAAAAAAUAAUUUUAACUAUAUAUAAAUAGUUUAAUUUCCGCUGAAGGGAAUUCGAAUGAACCCCCUCAUUAUAUGCUAGCUCCGGUAUUGGAUUUUGUUGUGUCCUUAGAUUUCUUUAGUCUACCAUUUCUAGUUGUGAACAUUGGGAUGACAAUGGAGAGGGAUAGGUGGAGCAGGUAACGCCUUUACUAACUUUAGUUGUAACCAACCCCACCCUGCCUUGUGUGCCAAUCAUGACCUUCCAAGUACUCUAGGUUAGGCCUCCCUCUUCUCCCCAUCCUAUCGGCAUCUUAUGGAGUAGAAAUUAGUGGCGGACUAAGUUGCAAGGACUCCACUUUCGAUGCUGCACCCGUGUCGGGUUCUCCAAAAAUACACUAACUUUGGCGAAUCCGACACGUACACAUGGACAUUUUUGAAGAGUUAGAGCAAUGUAGGUGGCGGAUGCAGCCCUUUGGCAAUGUGUUUAUCUGUCCUAUAUGUGUGUGUGCGCGUGCGUGUGUGCGCGUGCGGAUGUGCGCACACGUGUGUGCGUGUGUCUGUGUAUAAGUCAAUCAAAAUCUGAACACGUAAUUUUAAAAUACAAGUAGUUCAACAUUAGAAUAUUUAAAGAUCAAACUCAUCAAAUUUAAAUUCUUGAUCUGCCUCUACUUGUAGUGUGUCAGACUAUGCUAGUUUGCAAAUUUGAUCAGCAAGAGUCCAAUUAUAGGCUUUAAUAAAAGAAAAGUGGCUUCACUAAAUAAAUCGGAUUAGCCGAAUUAAGGAAAUAAAUGUACAUUCUCUCUAACAUCAUUUAGAUGAGAUGAGUACAAACCGAGGUCAUGCGUUCGAAUUUCACUGCCAGCCAUAUCAUAAAACGUUCCACAUGCUUGACACUUUAAAAAGUAUUAGUUCACAUCGGAGGAACGUACAAAUAUAAUUAAGUAAAUAAAGGUGUUCGCUAUCUAAGUAUGAUAGCUGUACAUGUGAUUGAUAAUUUAGGAGUUAUCUAUGUAAAAUGUGAAGAUCUUGAAAUACAUCAUAAUAAGUUCGAGAAAAUGAUCUGUUACCCCCUCAACCUUUAGUCGAAAUCCUAACUACACACUCAACCUUUUAAUGUGACCUAUUACCUCCUGAAUUUAUUUUUAUCGAAUUUAUUACCCCCCAGUUGCUGACGUGUCACUGGACGUGACUACACACGCCCAUAGGCGCGUCAGUUGACUUUUUUUCACUUUAAAAUUAUUAUUUUUUUAUUGCCACGUCAUUAUUUUUAAUAAUUAUUAUUUUUUCUUAAUAAAUAUUGGCUUCUUCUUCUAUUCUUCUUCUUCAAUGGCUUCUUCUUCACCUUCUUCUCCUUCUUCUUUUUCUUCUUCUUCUAUUCUUCUUCUUCAAUGCCUUCAAUGGUGCAGCUUUAAUGGUGAAAUGUCGAUGAACAGUGACGGCGUCGGAAAAUUCAAAAUUCCGUCGACUUUUUUUUUUUGAUGAAUUUUACGUAAUUCGAUUCAACAUUUUGAUUCAACACGUUGAUUCAACAUUCGAUUCAACUUCACGUAAUCAAUGACAUUUGGCUUUUUUGAUUCAACAUUCUCACAUAAUUCGAGUUCUUGGAUGUCAUUGAAAAAGAAGAAGAAGAAAUGCCAUUAAUGAGUUCUCACUUGAACUAAAAACUUCGAUUCAAAAAACUUAAGAAAAAAUUAAGAACUUGAAUUCUUGAAUGAAGAGAUGAGGAAGAUGAUAAAUUAAUCUUGAAUGACAUUGAUUAGUUCUUGGAUGCUAUUGAAAAAGAAAUGCCAUUGAACACGAAUUAACUUGAAAAAAUUUAAGGACUUUAAUUCUUGAAAGAGGAGAUGAUGAAGAUAAUAAAUUAAUCUUGAAUGUCAUUGAUGAGUUCUUGGAUGCUAUUGAUGAAGAAAUGCCAUUGAAGAAAAAGAAUUGAAGACGAAGAAGAAUUGAAGAAGAAAAAAGAAAAAUAAUAAUUGCCAUUGAUGGGUUCUUGGGUGCCAUUGAAGAAGAAGAAAUAAAUAAGAAGAAUUGAAGAAGAAGAAGAAGAAGAAGAAGAACAAAGAAAAAUAAUAAUGUUAAAUUAUUAUUAUUUUUUUAGAGUAAAAAAUUUAAAAAUGACGUGGCAAUGACGUGGCAUGACGUGACGGCGUGUGCAUCACACCAUAUUUGUAAUGACUGGUUGUCAGUUUGGGGGGUUUUAAUAAUUCCACUUUAAAAUAGUUCAAGGAGAUAAUAAUUCCAUUUUGAAAUAGUUCAGAGGGGUAAUAGGUCACCUUUAAAGAUUGAGCGUGCAGUUGGGAUUUGAGGUAAAGAUCGGGGGGUAACAUACCAUUUUCUCUAAUAAGUUCUUUUAAUACUUCAAGAUAUCAAUGUCAAGCCUUAUUGUUUAUGAUUAUUAUUUUUCCAUUAAUAGAAGAGUUGAAUUUAGUAUAUAAUAGGCAAAAAUGUAUGCCACUAUGAGAUUAUAAUCUUUCACAUUUAUUAUGAUGUUUAAUAUUAUUUUAAUGAUGAAUCCAUGUUGAGCUGAUCCGUGUACAUUUGUAUUCACACAUAUAAGCUUUCGUCAUUUAAUGAAGAAUUACAUUUAGUUUUUAAAAGGCAAAAAAUUGUACCUUUAUGAAUGAGAGUACGUAAUUUAUUCACAUUUCAUAUUGAGGUUUAUUAUUUUUUUCUAUUAUAAAUGUUGGUUAAUCUAAUCCGUGUAGUGAGUACAUUCAUAUUUCACACAUACAAGACACUUCACUUGAAAGUCAAAGUUCUUUUGUGUGCUUGAAAUAUUGGUUUCUUACAUAUAUAUACAAUGAGACUCCUUUGUGUUCAUGCAAUUGAAUUUUAAAUCAUGUGCAAUUAGCUAAUACACCGAAGGUAAAAUUUAUCUAUUUUUGCUGGUCUAAAAAUUGAAGAACAAUCGUGUUCUUUUAGUUAAAUGUUAUUAUUAAAGGCACCUCUUAUAUAAUCAAUCCAUUAAGCAGGUCGGGUCAAGAUUGGAUCGGGUUCAGGGUGGGUUAGGUCCUAAAUAAAUCUAAUUAUUGAUUUUGGAAUUGGAAAGCAUAGUAAAUAUUGAAAAAGACACUCUUUUUAGGACAAACCAAAAAGAAAAAUAAGACACUUAAAUUGAGAUGAGGGAGUGUUAAAAUUCAUUUUUGUAUGUGGCGAUUGUUUGAUGAACUUUUGAGUACUAUAUAUUUAUAAUAAUGUCUAAGUGUUAGCAGAGGUAAGUAAUAUGAAGUUUAAGGUUUAGAUCCUACUUUUGAUGGACAAUGAAUAGCAUCAUAUCCCUCGAGAAGUUGUUUUCCCUCAUACUAGGCACAAUGAUAUGACCAUAAAAUUUUUAUGGCAUCACUAGUUUCAAAUAUUGUUCUUUCUUUCUUCGUUCAAUUCCAUGUCUAGUCAAAUAGGUUCAUAGAGCAUGAAGUGGAGGGAGUAGUAUAGAAUUGUAGUUUCCUAUUAGGGAAGAUAGCUUCUUUGAUUUCAAAAAAAUUGUUAGCCUGAUAGAUCUUGGUAUUUGACCUAAAAUGUCCUUUAUUAUGCUUAGUUCUUUCUCUUUAUGAUCCAUAAUUCAAUUGAGUGUUUCAUGAAUGGCUUGUAUUGUGAAUACACUAGUAUAUUGUUGUUGUCGUUGUUGCUUGUAUUGUGAAUAUAGGGCCUAAAAUAUUAACUUGUUGGCAGGGUAGGCGGAGCGGGUAAUUCCCUGUCCAACUAUAGUCUCAACCAACCCCGCCCUACCUCAUUUUUAUCGAGUAAAAUAUUUCAUUGAUAAUAAAAAGGCCAUCUUGGCCAUAUAUAAGAGGUAUACCAAAAGGAGAAACCUACAAAAUAUUGUUCUCUCCAAAAGUUACACAAUCCUAUAUACAGAUAGGAACUAUGUGGGUGCACCAAAAGAAAAUAAGUGAUCAAAGACUGCUCCUUAAUUGGGCAAAGCUUGUCUACACCCCUUCAAAAGCUUUCACAUUUCUCUUUCCAAAUAAUCCAUCAAGACAAGGGGAGUAACAUUCCAAGCCUUGUGCCUUCUUCUCCUAGCUCCACUCUUCCAGUUGAACAACAACUCCUUCACAGAUCUUCGCACUGCCCAAGAAACUCCAAUUCAACUAAAGAUAUCCCACCAUAACUUCAUGCUAAAUUUCAAUGUAGUAAAAUAUGAUCCACGUCCUCACCUGCUUGGCGACAAAGGAAAUGCCAUCUUAGGCUGACAACUUCUGAUUUCCUCAAACUUUCGCCUUUAAAAUCACCUCUCUAGGAGCUAACCACGUAAAGAAACAUGCUCCUCGGAACCUUACAAAAUCUAUGUUGGAUCAUAUGGAUAGCUAUCCUACGGCCUGACAUGAAUCUUAUCGUAAAAGGACUUGACAGAAAAUACCUUAUUAUUUCUCAACUCCCAACUCAAUGCAUCGGUCUGCCGACCGGCUAACAUUGCUUGUGAAGUAGCAAGCAAUCUCUGGAGCUCAGUCAACUCCCAGUGUUGGAAAUCGCUCAUAAACCUCAAAUCCCAAAAAACCCAUCACCUGCCUCAUGCACCAUUCUUGCCCCUCCAAGCCCCCUCAGGCUAAGUCUCUCUGUUCGCCCUACUCUACUGGCAUCCUAUGUACUUGAAAUCAGUAGCGUAUGUAGUCUUUCGUCAAUGUGUUCUUCCAGCCUAUAUAUGUGUGUGUGUGUCUUGUGUACAAGUCCAUCAAAAUGUCAACAAAUAUGAAAGUUGAACAUACAAUUUUAAUGUAUAGCGAGUUCAACACUAAUAAAUUUAAAGAUCAAACUCAUCAAAAAUUUAAAUUCUAGAUCUCAUAUACUUGUAGUGUCAGACUAUGCUAGUUUGCAAAUUUGCUAACCACAUGCCUUAAUAAAAGAAAGCUUGCUUCAGUUGCCUAUUUGAUUUAAUUAGUCCACUGGAUCAGAUUGCCACCACCAAAUGUUGAUAACAUAGUUAAGUACGUAAGUACGUAUUCUCUCUAACACCCUUUAGGUGAGAUGAUCACAGGCAGAGGCAGAGGUCGUUCGAGUUUCACUGCCAGUCAUAUUAGAACAAAUUCCGCGUACUUGAUACAUUAAAAAGAAUUAGUCCACACAUUAGGGACGUGUUAACAAUAUAAUAUAAUUAAGUAAUCAGAAGUGUACACUCUCUAAGUAUGAUAUAUGUACAUGUGAUUGAUAAUUUAGGAGUUACCAUGUAGAUUAUGAAGAUCUUGAAAUACAUCAUGAUAAGUUCUUUUAACAUUUCAAGAUAUCAAAGUCCAUCCUUAUUGUUUAUGAUUGUUGUUUUUCCAUUAAUGAAGAACUAAAUUAGUUUUUAAAAGGCAUAGAAAUAUAUCAUUAUGAAAUUACUUAAUUUAUUCACAUUUUACUCUGAGGUUUAAUACUUUUUCUGUAAUAAUAACUUUAGGUUGAUCUGAUUUGGAUACAUAGUAUAUCAUUAUGAGAUUACUUAAUCUAUUCAUUUUUUUUUCUGGUGAAGUUAAUCUAUUCAUAUUUUACUUCGACGUUUAAUGUUUUUUCUAUAAUAAUAAUUGUAGGUUGAUCUGAUUUGAGUACAUAGUAUAUCAUUGUGAGAUUACUUAAUCUGUUCACAUUUUACUAUGAGGUUUAAUGUUUUUCUAUAAUAGAUGUAGGUUGAUCCGACUACACUUGUAUUCACAUGUAUAAGCUUUUGUAAAUUAAUGAAGAAUUAAAUUUAUUUUUUAAAAGGCAAAAAAAAAUAGGUGUGGAGGUCGCGAAUAAGGGUAGAAGGCUAAUGCGGGUGUGUGGGUUGUAGCUUGCAGUCUGGAGAGUCUUGUGUAGCCGGGUUAAUAAGCCUAGAGGUCCGUGUUCAUAGGGUCCUUGUUAUGGGAGUGUAGGUUAUUACUAGGUGGGUGCACUAAGUCUUAUGUCUUAGUACCUAUUUUCUUAUUCCAUGUCGCCCUUAUGUCUCGUAUUUCAUAUUUCUCUGAUGUCUAUUUUAUUCUUUCUUAUUCCUGAUUUUCUAUUAUGUUCUCCAUCCCUUUGUUUACUGUUCUCUACUCUGAGCCGAGGUCUAUCGGAAACAGUCUCUCUACUUCUUCGGAGGUAGCGGUAUGGACCGCGUACAUCUUACCUUCCCCAGACCCCACUCUUGUGGGAAUACACUGGGUAUGUUGUUGUUGUUGUAAAAGGCAAAAAAAUAUACCAUUAUGAGAUUGUGAAUUUCUUUUACAGUUCUUUUAGAAAAACAUUAUAAGAUUACUUAAUUUAUCCACAUUUUACUUUGAGGCUUAAUAUUCUUAUGGCACAUCCUUUAUAUAAUAAAUGUAGGUUGGUCUGAUCCCAAUACAUUCAUAUUCACAUAUAUAAUCUUUUGUUCACUUAGUGAAGAAUAAAAUUUGUUUUUAAAGAGGCAAAAGUGUAUAACAUUAUGAGAUUACUUAAUCUAUUCACAUUUUACUCAUGUUUAAUAGGUUGAUAUUCUGUGUGCUUGGAAUACUAGCUUCUUACAUUAUUUACAUAAUGAGACUCCUUUUUUCCUAAAAAUUUACAGCUGUCGCUUCAUUUAGUAGGUACAAAAAAUUGCAUUUUCAUCUAAAAUGAUCAUCGAUGAUAACUAGGUAAAUUUGAAGGACUAUAAUGACCAUUUUCUGUAAGUUGAGUGACCAUUUUAACUGUAGUCAAGAUUCAUGUAAUCUUGUUGUUUAGCGAAUUGCAUACAUUCAACUAUUCACCACUUCUUCUUUUUCUCCUCUUGUUAUUUUCGCUUUCUCUUGUUAUUUUCUCCAUUUCUUUUUGUGUGCUUUUGUAGGAGGUCUCAAUUUCUGCAGAAAAUGGGAUCCACUUGGAAACGCGUGAGACCUGUUGAAGAAGAAAAAGAAAAAGAGGCUAGAUCCUUGUAGAAAUAUCACCCUUUUUUUACUACUUUGCCGCAUUGAUAAGAUUCACACACCAAAAGAGCAACUAAUACUGCUAUUGGUUCAUUAGUUUUUAGGUUACGUUCUUGAUUGAAGAGAACUGAAGUAUCAGUUAUGUUUAGGUCUUUACUGUUCUUAACGGAAUGCUGCUAUUGCUUUCUUCUUUUCCAUUUAAGAAUUUUAGUUCUGGUUAUCUUUAUUUGCCCUUGAUUGAGUGGAUUUCUCCAACUCUAAACCAUUUCUUGCAUGAAGGGGAGGGUGAUAUGUAAAAAGCGCUA